CCUACGGGAGGCAGCAGUAAGGAAUAUUGGUCAAUGGGCGCAAGCCUGAACCAGCCAUGCCGCGUGCAGGAAGACGGCCCUAUGGGUUGUAAACUGCUUUUGAACAAGAGAAAACCUCGGUACGUGUACCGAGCUGAUAGUAUUGUUAGAAUAAGCAUCGGCUAACUUCGUGCCAGCAGCCGCGGUAAGACGAAGGAUGCAAGCGUUAUCCGGAUUCAUUGGGUUUAAAGGGUGCGUAGGCGGACCGAUAAGUCAGUGGUGAAAUCUCUCAGCUUAACUGAGAAACUGCCAUUGAUACUGUCAGUCUAGAGUAUAGAUGAUGUGGGCGGAAUAUGACAUGUAGUGGUGAAAUACUUAGAUAUGUCAUAGAACACCGAUUGCGAAGGCAGCUCACAAAACUAUAACUGACGCUGAGGCACGAAAGUGCGGGGAUCAAACAGGAUUAGAUACCCUGGUAGUCCGCACCGUAAACGAUGAUUACUCGUUGUUGGCAAUAUGACCGUCAGCGACCAAGCGAAAGCGAUAAGUAAUCCACCUGGGGAGUACGCCGGCAACGGUGAAACUCAAAUGAAUUGACGGCGNGAGAGNGACGACGGACGACGACGAGGGAGGAGG
Molecule: ribosomal RNA, 615 nt
Filed under: uncultured bacterium
Lineage: Bacteria
Description: bacterial SSU rRNA
Rfam family: Bacterial small subunit ribosomal RNA
Source: RNAcentral